GUCAUUGUAAUCUCACUACGAUCGACUUUUGUCUUUUCGUAUGUGGACUUGGAUGUUGCCGUGAAUAAACAAACGGCUCGUCUGAAAUGCCUGAGUGUACCCCGCUUUGCGGCGUAUUCGGUGUGAUAAAUCUUCACCGGAGUUGAUCCCUUUAUGGGGUCGCGUCUGUAAUGGUGUGGCUCUAUGCUUCGAACCGUCUUUUUAUCGAGACAAAUCUCUGACAAUUUGACCUCAAAUCGGGUGGGACUACCCGCUGAACUUAAGCAUAUCAAUAAGCGGAGGAAAAGAAACUAACAAGGAUUCCCCUAGUAACGGCGAGUGAAGAGGGAAAAGCUCAAAUUUUGAAUCUGGUGUCUUUGACUCCCGAGUUGUAAUCUAGAGAAGUGUUUUCCGUGUCGGACCGUGCACAAGUUCCCUGGAACGGGGCGUCAUAGAGGGUGAGAAUCCCGUAUAUGGCAUGGACUGCCGAUGCUUUUGUGAUACACUCUCAACGAGUCGAGUUGUUUGGGAAUGCAGCUCAAAAUGGGUGGUAAAUUCCAUCUAAAGCUAAAUAUUGGCGAGAGACCGAUAGCGAACAAGUACCGUGAGGGAAAGAUGAAAAGCACUUUGGAAAGAGAGUGAAACAGUACGUGAAAUUGUUGAAAGGGAAGCGUUUGAAGUCAGUCGUAUCUGGCGGGAUUCAGCCGGGCUUUUGCCAGGUGUACUUCUCGUCCGAUGGGUCAGCAUCAAUUUCGACCGGGGGAAAAAGACGUGUGGAAUGUGGCUGUCUUCGGGCAGUGUUAUAGCCAUGCGUUGUAUGCCUCGGUUGGGAUUGAGGAACGCAGCGCGCCUAUAGGCCAGGGGUUCGCCUCUUGACACGCGCUUAGGAUGCUGGCAUAAUGGCUUUAAGCGACCCGUCUUGAAACACGGA
Molecule: ribosomal RNA, 910 nt
Filed under: uncultured Sebacinales
Lineage: Eukaryota; Fungi; Basidiomycota; Agaricomycetes; Sebacinales
Description: eukaryotic LSU rRNA
Rfam family: Eukaryotic large subunit ribosomal RNA (bases 227-910)
Source: RNAcentral